UAGGGAAUCUUCCACAAUGGACGCAAGUCUGAUGGAGCAACGCCGCGUGAGUGAAGAAGGUUUUCGGAUCGUAAAGCUCUGUUGUUGGUGAAGAAGGAUAGAGGUAGUAACUGGCCUUUAUUUGACGGUAAUCAACCAGAAAGUCACGGCUAACUACGUGCCAGCAGCCGCGGUAAUACGUAGGUGGCAAGCGUUGUCCGGAUUUAUUGGGCGUAAAGCGAGCGCAGGCGGAAGAAUAAGUCUGAUGUGAAAGCCCUCGGCUUAACCGAGGAACUGCAUCGGAAACUGUUUUUCUUGAGUGCAGAAGAGGAGAGUGGAAUUCCAUGUGUAGCGGUGGAAUGCGUAGAUAUAUGGAAGAACACCAGUGGCGAAGGCGAAUCUCUGGUCUGCAACUGACGCUGAGGCUCGAAAGCAUGGGUAGCGAACAGG
Molecule: ribosomal RNA, 429 nt
Filed under: bacterium
Lineage: Bacteria
Description: partial 16S ribosomal RNA
Rfam family: Bacterial small subunit ribosomal RNA
Source: RNAcentral